RNAcentral lists this ribosomal RNA (466 nucleotides) under uncultured bacterium. Its description in RNAcentral is "partial 16S ribosomal RNA". It matches the Rfam family "Bacterial small subunit ribosomal RNA", at positions 28 to 507 of the family's 1533-position model. The record is from RNAcentral.
GACGAACGCUGGCGGCGUGCUUAACACAUGCAAGUCGUGCGGUAAGGCCCUUUCGGGGGUACACGAGCGGCGCACGGGUGAGUAACACGUGAGCAACCUGCCCUUCACUUUGGGAUAACUGCCGGAAACGGUGGCUAAUACCGGAUAUGACUUCCUCACGCAUGUGGGGUGGUGGAAAGCCUUCGGGUGGUGGGGGAUGGGCUCGCGGUCUAUCAGCUUGUUGGUGGGGUGAUGGCCUACCAAGGCUUCGACGGGUAGCCGGCCUGAGAGGGUGACCGGCCAAACUGGGACUGAGGCACGGCACAGACUCCUACGGGAGGCAGCAGUGGGGAAUAUUGGACAAUGGGCGAAAGCCUGAUCCAGCAACGCCGCGUGAGGGAUGACGGCCUUCGGGUUGUAAACCUCUUUCGCCUGCGACGAAGCGAGAGUGACGGUAGCAGGUAAAGAAGCACCGGCCAACUACGUG